RNAcentral lists this small RNA (1044 nucleotides) under Tricholomopsis badinensis. RNAcentral's name for it is "eukaryotic LSU rRNA". The stretch from base 418 to 1044 matches the Rfam family "Eukaryotic large subunit ribosomal RNA", at positions 1 to 639 of the family's 3401-position model. Lineage: Eukaryota; Fungi; Basidiomycota; Agaricomycetes; Agaricales. The record is from RNAcentral.
GCUGGCUAAAUGGCAUGUGCACGCCUUUAACUUUCUUUCCACCUGUGCACUCUUUGUAGGCGCAAGUCUAUGAUUUACAAACACUAAUUAAUGAUAUGAUGGUUGGCUCUAAUAUAAUACAACUUUCAACAAUGGAUCUCUUGGUUCUCGCAUCGAUGAAGAACGCAGCGAAAUGCGAUAAGUAAUGUGAAUUGCAGAUCUCAGUGAAUCAUCGAAUCUUUGAACGCAUCUUGCGCUCUUUGGUAUUCCAAAGGGCAUGCCUGUUUGAGUGUCAUCAAAUUCUCAAAGCUUUGCUUUGGAUAUGAAGAUUGCUGGCCUGGUCAGCUUCUUUGAAAUGCAUUAGUGGGAUCAUGCUAGGUGUGAUAACUAUUAUCACCGAGUGUUAGUGUCCUGCUUAACCCCCAAUUUUUUGACCUUUGACCUCAAAUCAGGUAAGACUACCCGCUGAACUUAAGCAUAUCAAUAAGCGGAGGAAAAGAAACUAACAAGGAUUCCCCUAGUAACUGCGAGUGAAGCGGGAUGAGCUCAAAUUUAAAAUCUGGCAGUCUUUGACCGUCCGAGUUGUAAUUUAGAGAAGCGAUGCCGGCGCUGGGCUGUGUACMARUCUCCUGGAAUGGAGCGUCAUAGAGGGUGAGAAUCCCGUAUAUGACACAGAUGCCAGGGUACAGUGGCACGCUCUCAAAGAGUCGAGUUGUUUGGGAAUGCAGCUCAAAAUGGGUGGUAAAUUCCAUCUAAAGCUAAAUACAGGCGAGAGACCGAUAGCGAACAAGUACCGUGAGGGAAAGAUGAAAAGAACUUUGGAAAGAGAGUUAAACAGUACGUGAAAUUGUUGAAAGGGAAACGCUUGAAGUCAGUCGCGUUGCCGGAAAUCACACUUGCUCUGGCUUGUGGCUCUUUCCUUGGCAAUGGGUCAGCAUCAGUUUUGAUUGUUGGAAAAAGGUCAGAGGAAUGUGGCAUCCUUGGAUGUGUUAUAGCCUCUGAUCAUAUGCAAUGAUUGAGACUGAGGAACUCGGCACUUGUGCUUAGGAUGCUGGCAUAAUGGCU